Hippocampus comes (tiger tail seahorse) is the source of this 1223-nucleotide long non-coding RNA. RefSeq lists it as uncharacterized. The transcript is spliced from 3 exons. The record is from RefSeq and is a predicted model, not a curated record. Lineage: Eukaryota; Metazoa; Chordata; Actinopteri; Syngnathiformes; Syngnathidae.
UGCAUAUGCUCGAUACUUGUAACGUUUUGUUGGUUGGGGUGGGGGGGUCCCUUCCAGUUGUCGAGCACAUUACAAGGCAACGAGGCAAGCUCUCCCGCAAGCAUGCGAUGCGCGUCCACGUGGCCGGUGGAGCGCGUGACAGAUCAGCGCCGCUAACGCAGCCCCCCGCGGCUUCAGGGUUUGCCCCUCCUGAAGAGCACCAAUCUGAGAUGGCUACAUGGAGGGGGCGGGAAGGAUAGUUUGAGAAGGGCUGAGCUUUUUUUUUUGAGCGAGGACGCCAAUUUCUCUGUUAUUCUAUCACUGACAACAAGCAAAAAAAUAAAAAAUAAAAACAAAAUAAAGGAAUCCCAAAAGGCAGCAGAGAGACAUCAGCCGGACCACGCGUCAGAACCUCAUUAACUCCAAAGACCGGAGGGGGGGAAAGAAGCAGAAACAGCAGGAAGACGAUCUUUUUUUUUCUUUUUUUCUUUUUUUUAUACAAGUGGAGUCCUCUGUCUAAAUUGCUAUGGCUGCUGCGUUUUGGAACCUUGAACGCCCGCACUCGGCCUUGCGGCUCUUCCUCCUAUGCCUCAGCAUGAUUCCGCAAGCCAGUGCCGUCGUUGGACACAGAGAGCCGCUGCCCGAUGACAGUAACAAUAUCACAAUUUUCACCCGAAUCUUAGACAGACUGUUGGAUGGUUAUGACAACAGACUACGUCCUGGGCUGGGAGGUAAGGCUCGUACCGUUGCUACUUUCUAUUGCAUGUUUGCUCGCACGUUUCAAUGGCACGCCAAUACGAGCAACCAUUGUCCCUUAAGUGAAAGACUCCCGACGUGAGUCGCCUACAUAUGUCCGGAGAACGCUAAGCCAUUUCAACCAAUUCUUCCUCAAAGUGAACCCACAUGCUUGAGCAGACUUUUCUCAGUCAUCCAGCUGGAAUGGUUGUUUCUGCUUCAAUGCAUGCUGUUAAGGCCACAAGCGUAGCUACCAGGCUGCAAGACCACCAAGCUACGAGACUCCGAAGCCGCAACCAGGCAGAGGAAUCUGGCACAAUGCAUUCAAGUCUCUUUUUUUGUCUUAUUCAGAAAAUGUGGGGUCGGUUCUGGUUGAAACGCUACAGUUAGAGAAAAGCAAUCACCGCAAGUGAUUUCCUCCUUCAGAUUUAUCUCUUAUAAAAAGUUGCGCAGCUGCGAAAUAGCAAUCAUCCCACAUACAGCGGGAGAUAAUCAUGCGCAAACAUCUA